Molecule: unclassified non-coding RNA, 147 nt
Filed under: soil metagenome
Description: partial internal transcribed spacer 1
Source: RNAcentral
UAAUAAGUGUUUUAUGGCACUUUUUAAAUCCAUAUCCACCUUGUGUGCAAUGUUCAGUCGAUCUUCUUCAUGGAGAUCGACCAAACAUCAACCUUUAUCUUUUUAACUCUUUGUCUGAAAAAUAUUAUGAAUAAACAAUUCAAAAUA